AGUAAAUUGGUUAAGUUAGAAAGGGCGCACGGUGGAUGCCUUGGCACUAGGAGCCGAAGAAGGACGGGACUAACACCGAUAUGCUUUGGGGAGCUGUACGUAAGCGUUGAUCCAGAGAUUUCCGAAUGGGGGAACCCACUAUCUUUAGUCGGAUAGUAUCCUUACGUGAAUACAUAGCGUGAGGAAGGCAGACCCAGGGAACUGAAACAUCUAAGUACCUGGAGGAAGAGAAAGAAAAAUCGAUUUCCUGAGUAGCGGCGAGCGAAACGGAAAGAGCCCAAACCAAGAAGCUUGCUUCUUGGGGUUGUAGGACACUCUAUACGGAGUUACAAAAGAAAGUUAUAAAUGAAGCGGUCUGGAAAGGCCCGCCAAAGACGGUAACAGCCCGGUAGUUGAAAUGGCUUUCCCUCCAGAGUGGAUCCUGAGUACGGCGGAACACGUGAAAUUCCGUCGGAAUCCGGGAGGACCAUCUCCCAAGGCUAAAUACUCCCUAGUGACCGAUAGUGAACCAGUACCGUGAGGGAAAGGUGAAAAGCACCCC
This 541-nucleotide ribosomal RNA is filed under the name Listeria monocytogenes. RNAcentral's name for it is "partial 23S ribosomal RNA". It matches the Rfam family "Bacterial large subunit ribosomal RNA", at positions 1 to 527 of the family's 2925-position model. The record is from RNAcentral. Lineage: Bacteria; Bacillati; Bacillota; Bacilli; Caryophanales; Listeriaceae.